Molecule: ribosomal RNA, 253 nt
Filed under: uncultured bacterium
Lineage: Bacteria
Description: partial 16S ribosomal RNA
Rfam family: Bacterial small subunit ribosomal RNA
Source: RNAcentral
UACGGGGGGGGCAAGCGUUGUUCGGAAUUACUGGGCGUAAAGGGCUCGUAGGCGGCCAACUAAGUCAGACGUGAAAUCCCUCGGCUUAACCGGGGAACUGCGUCUGAUACUGGAUGGCUUGAGUGUGGGAGAGGGAUGCGGAAUUCCAGGUGUAGCGGUGAAAUGCGUAGAUAUCUGGAGGAACACCGGUGGCGAAGGCGGCAUCCUGGAUCACGACUGACGCUGAGGAGCGAAAGCCAGGGGAGCAAACGGG